AGAGUGAACGCUGGCGGUAGGCCUAACACAUGCAAGUCGAACGGCAGCACGGUAAGAGCUUGCUCUUAUGGGUGGCGAGUGGCGGACGGGUGAGGAAUACAUCGGAAUCUACCUUUUGGUGGGGGAUAACGUAGGGAAACUUACGCUAAUACCGCAUACGCCCUUCGGGGGAAAGCCGGGGACCAGCAAUGGCCUGGUGCUGAUAGAUGAGCCGAUGUCGGAUUAGCUAGUUGGUGAGGUAAUGGCUCACCGAAGGCGACGAUCCGUAGCUGGUCUGAGAGGAUGAUCAGCCACACUGGAACUGAGACACGGUCCAGACU
This 320-nucleotide ribosomal RNA is filed under the name uncultured soil bacterium. RNAcentral describes it as "bacterial SSU rRNA". It matches the Rfam family "Bacterial small subunit ribosomal RNA", at positions 26 to 337 of the family's 1533-position model. The record is from RNAcentral.